CGUGAUCUGCCCGGGCGCAGAUGUGGGCACCGGUCCGAGUGCCCGCCCUCUGUCCCCGCGGCUGGGUCCCGUCUGCUCCAGUUCCUGGGCUCCUAAUUCUUGGUCCAGCUUCUUCCAGGUCAGUGUGCGGGCCUUCCACGCUGCCAGCGGAAUACUGGAAUGGCGGAAGGGGAACGGGUCUGCGCGUCUGUUGUUCCCAGCGCUCUGCAAAGCCUGAAAAGGAGGAGCAACCUGUCCAGAAUCCUCGCAGGAAAAGGAGGGGAAAUCUCGACAUGGAAAAACCCUACAAUAAAAAUGAAGGAAACCUGGAAAACGAGGGAAAGCCAGAAGAUGAAGUAGAGCCUGAUGAUGAAGGAAAGUCAGACGAGGAAGAAAAGCCAGACGUGGAGGGGAAGACAGAAUGCGAGGGAAAGAGAGAGGAUGAGGGAGAGCCAGGUGAUGAGGGACAACCGGAAGAUGAGGGGAGCCAGGAAAAGCAGGGCAAGUCCGAAGGUGAGGGCAAGCCACAAGGCGAGGGCAAGCCAGCCUCCCAGGCAAAGCCAGAGAGCCAGCCGCGGGCCGCCGAAAAGCGCCCGGCUGAAGAUUAUGUGCCCCGGAAAGCAAAAAGAAAAACGGACAGGGGGACGGACGAUUCCCCCAGGGACUCUCAGGAGGACUUACAGGAAAGGCAUCUGAGCAGUGAGGAGAUGAUGAGAGAAUGUGGAGAUGUGUCAAGGGCUCAGGAAGAGCUAAGGAAAAAACAGAAAAUGGGUGGUUUUCAUUGGAUGCAAAGAGAUGUACAGGAUCCAUUUGCCCCAAGGGGACAACGGGGUGUCAGGGGAGUGAGGGGUGGAGGUAGGGGCCAGAGGGGCUUACACGAUAUCCCAUACCUUUAAUGCCUUUGGCCUUCCAUUCUGACUUCUCUGAUGAGAAUAUUGCUGGCCCUGCUUUCCCUGGUAGGUAUUUGCCAGGCCCAAUGCUUUAACCUUAAGCUGAUACUUUGCUUUAGAUGUCAAUCUCGUUACCAGCAGCCUUUUGACCCAACUACAGUGCUCUAUAUUUUAGUAGAGGAUUUUCACCCAUGUGCAUGGAAAAGAUGUUCAUGGUACAUUGUAAAAAAAUUAAAAAUAAAAAUAAAAAAAAGUUUGCAGAACCGCA
RNA transcript from Rhinopithecus roxellana (golden snub-nosed monkey), 1137 nucleotides. It is a transcript of the gene named transcription elongation factor A protein-like 3, with no coding region annotated. The transcript is spliced from 3 exons. The record is from RefSeq and is a predicted model, not a curated record. Lineage: Eukaryota; Metazoa; Chordata; Mammalia; Primates; Cercopithecidae.